CUGUGUGUCAAAAAAUUGCUGUACAUUUUAGUGAUUUUGUGGAUGAUGCAUAUACAAUUACAGCAUAUAUGAAUGCUUGGAGCAGUGACUUUAAUCCAUUACCACAUGAAGAUUAUUGGAUGCAUACACGUAUGUUCAAAUGUAUUCCUAAUCAUCAUCGUUUGAGACCCAAGCAAAAAGGUAGACCAAAGUCAACAAGACUACGAAAUGAGAUGGAUGAUAGGCAAAUAAGAAGUAAGA
Molecule: long non-coding RNA, 240 nt
Filed under: Elaeis guineensis (African oil palm)
Lineage: Eukaryota; Viridiplantae; Streptophyta; Magnoliopsida; Arecales; Arecaceae
Description: long non-coding RNA (EGUI_LNC078451)
Source: RNAcentral